AAAAAUUUAGUUAAAAAAAAUAACAUUAACAUGUCAAGUUAAAAUUAUUAAUAAAAAUAAUUUUUU
Molecule: transfer RNA, 66 nt
Filed under: Elateroidea sp. 2 KM-2017
Lineage: Eukaryota; Metazoa; Arthropoda; Insecta; Coleoptera
Description: tRNA-Asp
Source: RNAcentral